This is a long non-coding RNA of Stylophora pistillata, 210 nucleotides long. NCBI's taxonomy places the organism in Eukaryota, Metazoa, Cnidaria, Anthozoa, Scleractinia, Pocilloporidae. The record is from RefSeq and is a predicted model, not a curated record.
AUUUUGUCUUCUUUUUUGAAAGGGAAGCUUCGACAGAGCUGUAGACAUUUCAAAACCCCUCCGUUAUGACGUUGUCAACAUUGGAGGCAGUAACGCACAGCGGGACAUCUUCAACUUAUUCCUGAUUUACGCUGCUCUGCAUUCUUCACGAAAAGAGCAUCAUCACUUGGCAAGGAGCUUAUUGACAGAGAGAAAGGCAAUGAAAAAAAA